RNAcentral lists this ribosomal RNA (253 nucleotides) under uncultured bacterium. RNAcentral describes it as "partial 16S ribosomal RNA". It matches the Rfam family "Bacterial small subunit ribosomal RNA", at positions 524 to 776 of the family's 1533-position model. The record is from RNAcentral.
UACGUAGGGUCCACGCAUUAAUCGGAAUUAUUGGGCGUAAAGGGCGCGUAGGCGGGGAUGUAAGUCAGGUGUGGAAUACCAAAGCUCAACUUUGGUGCUGCAUUUGAAACUGCAUUUCUUGAGGACUGACGGAGAAAGCGGAAUUCCAUGAGUAGCGGUGAAAUGCGUAGAUACAUGGAGGAACACCGGUGGCGAAAGCGGCUUUCUAGUUUUUACCUGACGCUGAGGCGCGAGAGCAAGGGGAGCAAACAGG